AACGUCCCCAAUGCGGGAAACCGUGAGGGCGCUACCCCCAGUGCUCCCGAAAGGGAGCUUUUCCCCGCUUUAGAACGGCGGGGGAAUAAGCGGGGGGCAAGACUGGUGUCAGCCGCCGCGGUAAUACCAGCCCCGCGAGUGGUCGGGACGCUUACUGGGCUUAAAGCGCCCGUAGCCGGCCCUGCAAGUCACUGCUUAAAGACCCGGGCUCAACCCGGGAAAGGGCAGUGAUACUGCAGGGCUAGGGGGCGGGAGAGGUCGGAGGUACUCCCGGAGUAGGGGCGAAAUCCACAGAUCCCGGGAGGACCACCAGUGGCGAAAGCGUCCGGCCAGAACGCGCCCGACGGUGAGGGGCGAAAGCCGGGGUAGCAAAAGGGAUUAGAUACCCCUGUAGUCCCGGCUGUAAACGAUGCAGGCUAGGUGUCGCGUAGGCUUUGCGCCUACGCGGUGCCGCAGGGAAACCGGUAAGCCUGCCGCCUGGGGAGUACGCCCGCAAGGGUGAAACUUAA
RNAcentral lists this ribosomal RNA (509 nucleotides) under Acidianus sp. RNAcentral's name for it is "bacterial SSU rRNA". It matches the Rfam family "Archaeal small subunit ribosomal RNA", at positions 345 to 859 of the family's 1478-position model. Lineage: Archaea; Thermoproteati; Thermoproteota; Thermoprotei; Sulfolobales; Sulfolobaceae. The record is from RNAcentral.